UACGUAGGGUGCAAGCGUUGUCCGGAAUUAUUGGGCGUAAAGAGCUCGUAGGCGGUCUGUUACGUCGGCUGUGAAAACCUGGGGCUCAACCCCGGGCCUGCAACCGAUACGGGCAGACUAGAAUUCGGUAGGGGAGACUGGAAUUCCCGGUGUAGUGGUGGAAUGCGUAGAUAUCGGGAGGAACACCAGUCGGCGGAAGGCGGAGCUCGUCUGGACCGGUUCGUCGACGCUCAGGCGCGGAAAGCGG
RNAcentral lists this ribosomal RNA (247 nucleotides) under uncultured bacterium. Its description in RNAcentral is "partial 16S ribosomal RNA". It matches the Rfam family "Bacterial small subunit ribosomal RNA", at positions 524 to 762 of the family's 1533-position model. The record is from RNAcentral.